RNAcentral lists this ribosomal RNA (500 nucleotides) under uncultured bacterium. Its description in RNAcentral is "partial 16S ribosomal RNA". It matches the Rfam family "Bacterial small subunit ribosomal RNA", at positions 30 to 523 of the family's 1533-position model. The record is from RNAcentral.
AUUGAACGCUGGCGGAAUGCUUUACACAUGCAAGUCGAACGGCAGCACGGACUUCGGUCUGGUGGCGAGUGGCGAACGGGUGAGUAAUGUAUCGGAACGUGCCCAGUCGCGGGGGAUCACGUAGUGAAAAUUACGCUAAUACCGCAUACGAUCUAUGGAUGAAAGCGGGGGAUCGCAAGACCUCGCGCGAUUGGAGCGGCCGAUAUAAGAUUAGGUAGUUGGUGGGGUAAAGGCUCACCAAGCCAACGAUCUGUAGCUGGUCUGAGCGGACGCACAGCCACACCGGAACUGAGACACGGUCCAGACUCCUACGGGAGGCAGCAGUGGCGAAUUUUGGACAAUAGGCGAAAGCCUGAUCCAGCCAUUCCGCGUGCAGGAGGAAGGCCCUCGGGUUGUAAACUGCUUUUGUACAGAACGAAAAGGUUUCUACUAAUACUAGGAGCUCAUGACGGUACUGUAAGAAUAAGCACCGGCUAACUACGUGCCAGCCGCCGCGGUAA